UACGAAGGGGGCUAGCGUUGUUCGGAAUUACUGGGCGUAAAGCGCGCGUAGGCGGUGAUCUUUGUCAGGGGUGAAAUCCCGGGGCUCAACUCCGGAAUUGCCUUUGAAACGGGAUCGCUAGAGUCCGAGAGAGGAUGGCGGAAUUCCUAGUGUAGAGGUGAAAUUCGUAGAUAUUAGGAAGAACACCGGUGGCGAAGGCGGCCAUCUGGCUCGGUACUGACGCUCAGGCGCGAAAGCGUGGGGAGCAAACAGG
Molecule: ribosomal RNA, 253 nt
Filed under: uncultured bacterium
Lineage: Bacteria
Description: partial 16S ribosomal RNA
Rfam family: Bacterial small subunit ribosomal RNA
Source: RNAcentral